This 231-nucleotide non-coding RNA is filed under the name Turicibacter sanguinis. RNAcentral describes it as "T-box sequence". It matches the Rfam family "T-box leader". From Rfam's summary of the family: Uncharged tRNA acts as the effector for transcription antitermination of genes in the T-box leader family. T-boxes are found upstream of many aminoacyl-tRNA synthetase genes and some amino acid biosynthetic genes usually in Gram-positive bacteria. The record is from RNAcentral. Lineage: Bacteria; Bacillati; Bacillota; Erysipelotrichia; Erysipelotrichales; Turicibacteraceae.
UUAAAGAUUAUGAUAAGAAAGAGUAAAUCUAGUCAACUUUUUUAGAGAGCUAACGGGUGGUGGAAGUUAGUAAAGCAUCUAGGUUGAAGCAGUCUUUGAGUCGCUAGCUGAGAACUAAAAAGCAUGUCUUUUUAAUUAGGCUAAGACGUUCCCUCGCGUUACUGAGGACUUGAGUGGGUAAUUUAAAUUACUUAUUAGGGUGGUACCGCGAAGUAGUCCUUCGUCCCUUUU